RNAcentral lists this ribosomal RNA (458 nucleotides) under uncultured bacterium. Its description in RNAcentral is "partial 16S ribosomal RNA". It matches the Rfam family "Bacterial small subunit ribosomal RNA", at positions 338 to 795 of the family's 1533-position model. The record is from RNAcentral.
CCUACGGGGUGCAGCAGUGAGGAAUAUUGGUCAAUGGGCGAGAGCCUGAACCAGCCAAGUCGCGUGAGGGAGUACUGCCCUAUGGGUUGUAAACCUCUUUUGUCGGGGAGCAAAAGCCGGACGUGUCCGGCUGUGAGAGUACCCGAAGAAAAAGCAUCGGCUAACUCCGUGCCAGCAGCCGCGGUAAUACGGAGGAUGCGGGCGUUAUCCGGAUUUAUUGGGGUUAAAGGGUGCGCAGGCGGAUUUUUAAGUCAGCGGUCAAAUCGUGGGGCUCAACCCCAUCCAGCCGUGGAAACUGGGGAUCUAGAGUGUGCGAGAGGUAUGCGGAAUGCGUGGUGUAGCGGUGAAAUGCAUAGAUAUCACGCAGAACCCCGAUUGCGAAGGCAGCAUACCGGUGCACAACUGACGCUCAGGCACGAAAGCGUGGGUAUCGAACAGGAUUAGAUACCCCUGUAGUC